Molecule: non-coding RNA, 72 nt
Organism: Phrynosoma platyrhinos (Desert horned lizard)
Lineage: Eukaryota; Metazoa; Chordata; Lepidosauria; Squamata; Phrynosomatidae
Source: the annotation of a GenBank genome assembly
GCCAGGGUGGCAUAGUGGUUCGAGUGCUGAACUACGACUCUGGAGAGAAGGGUUCAAUUCCCAGCUCAGCCA